This 448-nucleotide ribosomal RNA is filed under the name uncultured bacterium. RNAcentral's name for it is "bacterial SSU rRNA". It matches the Rfam family "Bacterial small subunit ribosomal RNA", at positions 30 to 507 of the family's 1533-position model. The record is from RNAcentral.
CCUGAACGCUGUCGGCGUGACUAAGACAUGCAAGUCGUACGGUGUAACAAUACACAGUGGCGCACGGGUGAGUAAUGUAUCGCUAAUGUACCCCGAACUCUGGGAUAGCCAGUCGAAAGAUUGGGUAAUACCAGAUGAGACCACGACCUGGCAUCAGGUUGUGCUCAAAGGUUCGCCGGUUUGGGAUCAGGCGAUAUGGUAUCAGGUAGUUGGUGAGGUAACGGCUCACCAAGCCUUCGACGCCUAGCCGGACUGAGAGGUCGGACGGCCACAUCGGGACUGAGACACUGCCCGGAUCCUACGGGGGGCUGCAGUAAUGAAUCUUCCGCAAUGCACGAAAGUGUGACGGAGCGACGCCGAGUGAAGGAUGAAGUUCUUCGGAAUGUAAACUUCUAAAAUCUGUUAGAAAGUUCUGAUCAGCAGACUAUAAGUGGCGACUAACUCUGUG